ACUCAAAGGAAUUGACGGGAGCUUGCACAAGUGGUGGAGCGUGUGGCUCAAUUCGUCGCUAAGCGAAGAACCUUACCAGGGCUAGAAAUCCUACUGCACGUCUCGUGAAAGCGAGGAAGCCUUCGAGGGUGUAGGACAGGUGAUGCAUGGCUGUCGUCAGUUCGUGGUUUGAAUCGUUCCCUUCAGUGGGGUAACGAACGCAACCUUCGUUGCCUGUUACACGUAUCAGGCGAGACUGCCCCCUCACGGGGGAGGAAGGUGGAGAUGACGCCAAGUCAGCAUGUCCCUCUGAUGCCCUGGGCUGCACACGCGCUACAAUCGCCGUUACAACGAGGCGCAAUGUCGUAAGACGGAGCAAAUCUUUCAAAAGCGGCGCCAGUUCGGAUUGAGGUCUGCAACCCGACCUCAUGAAGCCGGAAUCACUAGUAAUCGCGGGUCAGCCACACCGCGGUGAAUACGUUCUCAAGCUUUGUACACACCGCCCGU
This 486-nucleotide ribosomal RNA is filed under the name uncultured bacterium. RNAcentral's name for it is "partial 16S ribosomal RNA". It matches the Rfam family "Bacterial small subunit ribosomal RNA", at positions 899 to 1397 of the family's 1533-position model. The record is from RNAcentral.